AGUAAAUAGAUACCCCGGUAGUCCACGCCGUAAACGAUGAGUACUAGGUGUAGGAGGUAUCGACUCCUUCUGUGCCGCAGUUAAACACAAUAAGUACUCCGCCUGGGAAGUACGGUCGCAAGAUUAAAACUCAAAGGAAUUGACGGGGGCCCGCACAAGCAGCGGAGCAUGUGGUUUAAAUUCGAAGCAACGCGAAGAACCUUACCUAGACUUGACAUCUCCUGAAUAGCGUAGAGAUACGUGAAGCCCUUCGGGGCAGGAAGACAGGUGGUGCAUGGUUGUCGUCAGCUCGUGUCGUGAGAUGUUGGGUUAAGUCCCGCAACGAGCGCAACCCUUAUCAUUAGUUGCUACCAUUAAGUUGAGCACUCUAGUGAGACUGCCCGGGUUAACCGGGAGGAAGGCGGGGAUGACGUCAAAUCAUCAUGCCCCUUAUGUCUAGGGCUACACACGUGCUACAAUGGUGAGAACAACGAGAUGCAAUACCGUGAGGUGGAGCUAAACUUGAAAACUCAUCCCAGUUCGGAUUGCAGGCUGAAA
RNAcentral lists this ribosomal RNA (537 nucleotides) under uncultured bacterium. Its description in RNAcentral is "bacterial SSU rRNA". It matches the Rfam family "Bacterial small subunit ribosomal RNA", at positions 774 to 1310 of the family's 1533-position model. The record is from RNAcentral.